Molecule: ribosomal RNA, 484 nt
Filed under: uncultured bacterium
Lineage: Bacteria
Description: partial 16S ribosomal RNA
Rfam family: Bacterial small subunit ribosomal RNA
Source: RNAcentral
AUUGAACGCUGGCGGCAGGCCUAACACAUGCAAGUCGAGCGGAAGAAGGGUGCUUGCUCCUGGAUUCAGCGUCGGACGGGUGUGUAAUGCCUAGGAAUAUCCCUGGUAGUGGGGGAUAACGUCCGGAAACGGGCGCUAAUACCGCAUACGUCCUGCGGGUGAAAGUGGGUGAUCUUCGGACCUCACGCUAUCAUAUGAGCCUAGGUCGGAUUAGCUAGUUGGUGGGGUAAAGGCCUACCAAGGCGACGAUCCGUAACUGGUCUGAGAGGAUGAUCAGUCACAUUGGAAGUGAGACACGGUCAAUACUCCUACGAGAGGCAGCAGUGGGGAAUAUUGGACAAUGGGAGAGAGCCUGAUCCAGCCGUGCCGCGUGUGUGAAGAAGGCCUUCGGAUUGUAAAGCACGUUAAGUUGGGAGGAAGGGCAGUAAGUUAAUACCUUGCUGUUUUGACGUUAACAACAGAAUAAGCACCGGCUAACUUCGUG